Molecule: unclassified non-coding RNA, 416 nt
Filed under: soil metagenome
Description: partial contains 5.8S ribosomal RNA, internal transcribed spacer 2, and large subunit ribosomal RNA
Rfam family: 5.8S ribosomal RNA (bases 1-120)
Source: RNAcentral
GAUGAAGAACGUAGCGAAAUGCGAUAAGUAAUGUGAAUUGCAGAAUUCAGUGAAUCAUCGAAUCUUUGAACGCACCUUGCACUCCUUGGUAUUCCGAGGAGUACGCCUGUUCGAGUGUUAUGAAGCUCUCAAAACGCAAUUGGCUUAAAACCUGAUUGUUGUUUUGGAUUUGAACUUUGCCGUGUUAUAACGGCUGGUUUUAAAAGUAUUAGCUGGUACUAGAACGAAUUGGUUCUACUCAACGUGAUAAUUAUCUGAUCGUUGAGGACAUUCCUUUCACGAGGAAUGGCCAUAGUAAAUUCAAUGGACUGCUUCUAAUCUGGCUUUAAUUCUUUAUUGGAUUAACCACUUUUCAAAUCUGACCUCGAAUCAGGUGGGACUACCCACUGAACUUAAGCAUAUCAAUAAGCGGAGGA